GAUGAACGCUGGCGGCGUGCCUAAUGCAUGCAAGUCGAGCGAACGGACGAGAAGCUUGCUUCUCUGAUGUUAGCGGCGGACGGGUGAGUAACACGUGGAUAACCUACCUAUAAGACUGGGAUAACUUCGGGAAACCGGAGCUAAUACCGGAUAAUAUUUUGAACCGCAUGGUUCAAAAGUAAAAGACGGUCUUGCUGUCACUUAUAGAUGGAUCCGCGCUGCAUUAGCUAGUUGGUAAGGUAACGGCUUACCAAGGCAACGAUGCAUAGCCGACCUGAGAGGGUGAUCGGCCACACUGGAACUGAGACACGGUCCAGACUCCUACGGGAGGCAGCAGUAGGGAAUCUUCCGCAAUGGGCGAAAGCCUGACGGAGCAACGCCGCGUGAGUGAUGAAGGUCUUCGGAUCGUAAAACUCUGUUAUUAGGGAAGAACAUAUGUGUAAGUAACUGUGCACAUCUUGACGGUACCUAAUCAGAAAGCCACGGCUAACUACGUG
This 497-nucleotide ribosomal RNA is filed under the name uncultured bacterium. RNAcentral's name for it is "partial 16S ribosomal RNA". It matches the Rfam family "Bacterial small subunit ribosomal RNA", at positions 28 to 507 of the family's 1533-position model. The record is from RNAcentral.